Molecule: ribosomal RNA, 492 nt
Filed under: uncultured bacterium
Lineage: Bacteria
Description: partial 16S ribosomal RNA
Rfam family: Bacterial small subunit ribosomal RNA
Source: RNAcentral
AGUGAACGCUGGCGGUAGGCCUAACACAUGCAAGUCGAACGGCAGCACAGUAAGAGCUUGCUCUUACGGGUGGCGAGUGGCGGACGGGUGAGGAAUACAUCGGAAUCUACUUUUUCGUGGGGGAUAACGUAGGGAAACUUACGCUAAUACCGCAUACGACCUUCGGGUGAAAGCAGGGGAUCUUCGGACCUUGCGCGAUUGAAUGAGUCGAUGUCGGAUUAGCUAGUUGGCGGGGUAAAGGCCCACCAAGGCGACGAUCCGUAGCUGGUCUGAGAGGAUGAUCAGCCACACUGGAACUGAGACACGGUCCAGACUCCUACGGGAGGCAGCAGUGGGGAAUAUUGGACAAUGGGCGCAAGCCUGAUCCAGCCAUACCGCGUGGGUGAAGAAGGCCUUCGGGUUGUAAAGCCCUUUUGUUGGGAAAGAAAAGCAGCAGGUUAAUACCCCGCUGUUCUGACGGUACCCAAAGAAUAGGCACCGGCUAACUUCGUG